GGAGGGUCCAAGCGUUAUCCGGAAUCAUUGGGUUUAAAGGGUCCGUAGGCGGAAUAAUAAGUCAGUGGUGAAAGUCUGCAGCUCAACUGUAGAAUUGCCAUUGAUACUGUUAUUCUUGAAUUAUUAUGAAGUGGUUGGAAUGAGUAGUGUAGCGGUGAAAUGCAUAGAUAUUACUCAGAACACCUAUUGCGAAGGCAGAUCACUAAUAAUAUAUUGACGCUGAGGGACGAAAGCGUAGGUAGCGAACAGGAUUAGAUACCCUGGUAGUCUACGCCCGUAAACGAUGGUUACUAGCUGUCCGGCCCUAAUUGAGGGCUGGGUGGUUAAGCGAAAGUGAUAAGUAACCCCACCUGGGAGUACGUUCGCAAGAAUG
RNAcentral lists this ribosomal RNA (373 nucleotides) under uncultured organism. RNAcentral describes it as "partial 16S ribosomal RNA". It matches the Rfam family "Bacterial small subunit ribosomal RNA", at positions 527 to 896 of the family's 1533-position model. The record is from RNAcentral.